Microtus oregoni (creeping vole) is the source of this 6589-nucleotide long non-coding RNA. RefSeq lists it as uncharacterized. The transcript has 3 exons. The record is from RefSeq and is a predicted model, not a curated record. NCBI's taxonomy places the organism in Eukaryota, Metazoa, Chordata, Mammalia, Rodentia, Cricetidae.
CGGACGGGAGCUGCAGCGCAGAGCGGAGGAGCCAUCUUGUCUUGUCGCCGGGGAGUCAGGCCCCUAACUCGAAGAAGCCCUGGCGCGCCCUCCCCCACUCCCCGGUCUGGUAGGGCGAAGGAGCGGGCGUGCGGUCGAUCGAGCGAUCGGUUGGCGGCUCUUCCUCCUGCUCUGGCAUCCAGCUCUUGGGGCGCAGGCCCGGCCGCCGCGGCGCGCGCCCGGUGGCCGUUGGCGCUCGCGCCGCGUCUUUCUUCUCGUCCGCAGAACUCGGGCGGCGGCCUAUGCGUUUGCGAUUCGACGAGGAGUCGUCCGGGUGGUCGGCGGCGGCGGGCAGCUGCUCCGCCCCGCUCCCGGGGAGGCGGCGGGGGAGGCUGGGGUGGCCGGGGCCGGCCUGGAGGCCUGGCGCCACCCUUCCGGGCCUGCUAGGACGCAGCUGGAGGGACAGGAGGGCGCGGGAGGAUGGUUGGUGGUGGGCUUUCUCCUCUGCCUUUUCCUACUUAUGCCACCUUAGCGUGGGGGUGGAAGCUCUGGCGGCAGCUCCGGGGUGGGGAUUCGAGCUCCGGAGUCGGAAGAUCUGGGUUUGCUUCCGGGCCUAGCCACCCGCUGGCCGAGUGACCUUAGGCAAGUCACUCUGUAAUUUGUCUGCGCCUCAGUUUCCUCCUCUGCCUAUCAGUGUGUGUCUGGGAUUGAAAGCGCUUUUACAGAAGCGUCCGUUUACAUAAAGGAUGAUUAUCGUUUUUAUUUUUUUGAGUUGCGAGAAGACUUAGCAACUGCUCAUUCCCAGGAGUUAAAUCCGGGAACCUUUUAUUGGAGUUGGAGAUCGGCAGGCUCCUUGAAUUUGUGUGCAGAAACGUGUGGGAAAGAGCAUUCUUGGGGAAUGGGCGGACCCAUCAAUAGCAAGUUUUCAAAGGGGGCCGUGACCCAGAAGAGAACAAUUGUAUGCCACCGGGAGGAAACUGAGGCCUACAUGUCAUUUGGGACCCUUCACAACCAAUUUGAAGCCCCCAUUUGAGUCCCUGGUAUAUGUGAGCUGCUUCUUAAUGCAUAAUGGCUAUUUCGGGUAACAUCAUUUCACUGCUUGGCUUCUAUUCUAAGCCCUUUCCUCUCACCGUAGGGUGCCUGAAGGGUGGCAGAUACACGUGGUACAGUGGCACCCAAUAUAAAGCAGCUACAAUUAGGAGUGAAUGUGUUCUGUAGUAUCAAGAAAUGUAAUCUUUGGCCCAGCAAUUGUUUUUCUGCUGCUUGUACUGGUGCCUGACUACUUUUCUUUCAUUGACCAUUUUCUACAACCAUGAUUGACAUCCGUCGUUUGCUCCUAUAGUGUAUCCCUGGUUUGCGUGGUUGAUAGUGAACAGGCUUAUUUUUAAAUGGUGCUGCCAAACCCAGCUAAUGGUGCAGGUGGAUAUUUAGCAAGCGGGCUCCCUGAAGCAGACUGAACCAGGCAUUGGAUUCCUGAGACUGUUUGGGAUUAUUUUUGGUUUGGCUUGUUUGGUUUGGUUCUUAUUAUUAAUUGAAGGUUAACAGUCUCUGAAAAGUUGUUGGACUCUGGUUGAACCACAAAAUCAGUAUAUUUGGAAGUAAUUUGAAGCUUAACUUUUUCCUGGCCAGCCUUGUAUUCUAAUUGCUUGCAAGUGUGAGACUGAAAUGGCCAAAAUGCCGUUUUUUGUUUAUUUCUGUUAAUUGUCAGCUGCUUUCCUCAAAUUGCAGGCCAUUAUCCAGCAAACACUAUAAAAAUGUUUGAACAGUUGCAUUUCAGACAUUUUCGUUUUGUGGAGUGGUGCUUAUCAAGUGGUACAGCUCUCGAAGCAAGUGAACACAACAUAUUUAAGUGUAUUUUGUAUGAUUAGAGGUUACCAAUUCCGAUAUUUUAUUCAAAUGUAUAUAAAAAAUUAAGUUGACUAUUCCCUUUACCAAAGGGCCAGAGACAAAUGAUUUCCCUUCAAGAGAAAUGACUGUUUUGGAGAAAAAUGUGUUGGUCUUAGUUCUUUUGUAAUUAAAUCUGGAUGUACCUCAAAAGACUCUUUUAAGACUGUGGUGUUAAAGGCUUUCCUCUGGAGAAAGGAGGAGAAAGGAGAAAAAGAAAAAUCAACUGGAAUUUAAAAGCUUGAAAUUCCGUGACAAAGCACAGAUGUCCAGGAUUGGAGGUUCAUGAAGUGUUUGCAGUAAUUGGAGCAGAUACACUUUUCCGUGUAAUUGCCACUGUGGACUCCAGGUUUCCAGAUUUUCAAUUGCUGGACCUGUGACCCAGAAGAGCUUGUCAAGAUGUGGCAGGAACUCUGGAGGUAGAUGUCUUGUACUUUUCAACUUUGGAACUGUUGAUUUUGCCAUGUGUAAAGAGGCAACAAGACAACAAGCACUGCCACCAGCGUUGUUACUGGAAACUUGAAGACCUGGGUUUCUGUCCAGACCCUCAGUGCAAACUGACAACACUCCAUCCAAAGUGAACCUAUGUCCUGUGCCUCCUGAUUGCUGAGUCUUCACCUGGACCCUGUGAUGACCUUCCUUCUGCUAGUCCAUCAGCCGCAGAACUGAUACCUGGAUUUCUGUCCAUGGUGAUUCCUACCACCUUACUACUGAAGAAGACACCAUUCCAGUGGACCACUGUGACCCAAGAAGCAUUCAGCCAUCAUGAUGUGAUCUUUACCUCCACUCCUGUUCUUUGCUCAGAUUCAGCACAGCCCUUUAUAGUGCAGUCAAGAGUCUUCAAGCCAAAUAACUGAAGCUAUUUUAUCACAAUAAAGGCCAAGUUUAUUCCAUAAAUGUACAGUUCAUUUCUGCAGUUAAGUCUUCAGAGACACAUAGUAAACUUGGACAAGGGGAUUUUGUGUUUUGUUUGUGAAUUGUCAACACUGUCUGAAAAUGGCAUCAUCUCUGAAAACAGCAUUGGAACAUACUCCACAAUCUCAAAUGACUGAAGUUUAAUGAACUGACUAGGAUCCUGUCAAGGUCACUGGACUCUUGUUUUGUUUUUGUUUUCCUCCUUCAAAUCUAUAGCUGUCUACUGAAUGAGAAGCAGACAUUCUGACCCAUUGGGAUCAAAACUAAGGCACAUCGAAUUCCUCAUAGUAUCAUCUUUGGGUUACUCAGGAACCAAAACUUUUCACACCAAUAUAAGAAAUUCUACUAAGGAGUCCCUUUACCUAACCAUCUCACCAGGCUUCAACCAGAUUCCGGAAAAGACUUCUGAUACAUCAAGAUAGAACCUAUAUGCAUUUUGUGAACAACUUAUCCUUAUCACUGAUUUUCCAAGGGCUUUGUGCUUAAUGAAGUCCUUUGAAGGAAAGCUAUGUGGAAGUCCAGAGUAAAGUGAAGCUGCUCUGGAGUAGGGAUCUGCAGCCUGCCACAACUAUUCCUUUACCAUCAUGGUGACAACUAAAGGGACUUCUUUAUGGAAAAUUCUUCAGAAGAUACUGCUGGAAACCACUGCCCUAGAUAACAUGUUUGACCUGAAUGACAUUCUGACCUUAUGUGUAUUUCCAAUUCUAUAUAGUUCAUAUUCAGUUGAUGCCGAACAUGUUUGGAGAUGGGUAUGCCUUUGUCCAGAGAACGAUCACACAGCGUUGUCAAGUGAAAUUUUAUUAAUAGCAUUCCAUCCAAGGUGGACUUCCUGGAGUUGGAUAUAGCCAGAGAAUAAUACAUGUGUAUCCUACACCGAAGAACCCCAUUAACUUUCACAAACGUGUACCUAGUGGUACUGGAAGUAUGUGGCUUGGAAGUCUUGGAACUUGGAUAUAGGAAUUGCCUGAAAGCUGGUAUUGAAGCUGAUGUCUCAUUGAGGCCAUCUUAGACCAAGUUGUUUAUUUGACCUCUCCACAUAAACUAUGGUACUCCACGUACAAAGGAUAAUCAUUAACUAUGAAGCAAAAUCCAAAUACAGUUUUUCCUAAAGGGACUUGUAACCUGAUUAUCAUUCACUGUCUCAAUUUCAACUCAUGUGACUAUUAAUUAAACUGCUCCAUGGUUUCCUGUUAUUUAAUAACUACUGUUUCCAGGGCUUAAAGAAAAAUUAAAUUCCUCCAACACUUGUUAUUUCUGCCUUUUCAAAAUUAAUUUACUCACCUCUACAUGGAACAGAUGAUCGUGAAGACAUAUUCUGAACAUCCUUUAUCAUAUGUGACUUAAAACAUAGCUGGACAAUUUUCCUCUACCAUUGAAAUAUUCUUUAAUGAUUAUUCUUCCGGCUUGGUACCAUCAGCUGUAUGUGAUGGGCAUAGUUGGACGCAGAUUCUUUGACUCUAGGCCAUGAUAGCCUGCUAGACAUUUCAAGUAGCAUAUUGUUGACCUUUUUGCUGGAAAAUUAGACUAACUUGGAAAAAAUAAUCUAUAAAUGGCAGCUAAGGAUUUUUUUCAAUAUUCUUGAGUGUCCUGUUGGAUGUUUUAAUGGAGUUUCAUCUGUCUCGUAUUAUCACUUUACACUAGUUCAGAGUGACUGACUUUAUUCCUUACUAUGAGGUAUUCUUAAGACAUUAAGAUUAUUUUUUUCUUGUAGAAAGGAUAAAAUCCCUGAAUACUGAAAUCAUAGUAAACAAGACUUUGUGACCUGAGAAAAUCUCAUUCUUCAACUUCAUAGUCUAAGGGCCAACUACCAUCAGCUACUCUUGAGUACAUUGGGUAAACGUUGGAACUGCUGCUUUUUAUAUUCUUGUUUCUUACCCUCUAACCAUGGUUGUAUAAUUGUUGACACAAAUCAGCAAAUCAAACUCAGAUCGGGUUAUUCUAAACUGCUCACAGUCAGCAAAUCAAAAUCGGGAUGAUUUCUGCUUUUAUCUGCAACUAUUAUUUGUAAAGAAGAAAUCACAGAUUCACUUUUCUAUUAUCUCUACAUUAGCUCUUUCUUUUUACUGUAUUUGCAGGAAAAAAAAACUACACUGCCAGUCAUUUCUUCUGAUUCUGCCAUACUCAGUUAAAACGAGCAAUCAAUCUAAUCAGUGAUUGGAUAAAUAGAAAAAACUAAAACUUAAGGCAAAAGCCUUAUUCUAGGGCCUUGUCUACUGUCUUCAUGCCUUGGAGCUCAUCUAAAUCUUACAACAGUGCCACCCAACCAACCAGUCUGAGGCCUUGACUUGCCUUUAAGAUUCUUGGCGAUGGGCUGUAUUACAGAAGGGGAAGACUUGAUUACCAAAGAAAUCCUGUUGCUCUCAGAUGUAGCAUAGACUCCUAAAUAGAACCUCAAGUCUGCAUUGAGGAUAUAGCCUUCUAAGCUGACAGUUCUUGCACAGAUGAGCAGGAAAAUGAAAGCUGCUAUACCCAACUGUCCCUUUAAGAUACAAAAAAAUUUUGUCUGGAGUAAACCCUUUGGAUUAUCUCUGGAGUACCCAGGACAAAAACUAAUUUACAGAGCUUCAUUAUCAAUCUGCCUAUUCUUCCAAAUUAUAGUUUUACUAUUGGUAUGACUGGCCCUGCUGAAGUUACUCUGUUUACCUGUCUUUAGCUCUUAACCUGCCUAUUUUGACAUGCUACUGCAAUCAGACUAACUGGCCUUGAGAAUACCAUCAGUUUCAGGCUUGUGCCCAGUUCCAUCAACGAAUUUUGAAUAGAAGGAACCUGUACCAUACCCUACCAGAACUCAAUGUUCACAACAGGGAGGACCAUGCUGCAUACUCUUUGACCAACAACUUUAAGUAGAGAAUAACCCUGCUUAUUUUCAACACCUGAAUCAUGUUUGAUCUAACAGAAGUAUAUCAGGUUGAAAAGCAAGAGUGCAUUGCUUUUUUUUUCUGUAAUAACUAAGAAAUGAAUAUGAUUGACCAGGACUAAGAAAUUAUAAGUUCACCUUGAGACAUAAAGCAACACAAGAACUUGACCACUGAACUUAAUUUGCAGCUAACUCAAACAGCUUCAAACUGUUUGCCAAGUAGGAGAAUGGUUUUCCUGCUUCACAUCACCAAUGUCAAUCUGACUUGAAUGAAAACUCCAUGGUGAAUCCUCGAGUAUGAAGCUAAUGGAAAUUAUCAUUCAUUUAAGUGAUUUGUAGGCUUCCUAUGGACAGGACAGACAUCGCUCCUGGUGAUUUUUAGAAUUCUAUUACCAAGGAAGAAAAACCAACUACUAUAAGCCAACUUUAUGGUCAAAGAUUAAGCUCUGUACUUGGCCUUAUCCCUGGAUGUUCUUUUUUAUUGCCCAUUCCAUCUCACUAUAACAACUUCCUGAUAUUUUUUGGAACCAUCUCUUCCAGUUUUCAGUCCAUGUGGUUUAGACACUUGUUGAAUCUUGUGCUGGACAUGUUAUUCCAACCUCAUCAAUCAGCAAAGUCCUUCUUGACUCUAGUGAUUGAUUCAGGAAUGGAUGCACGAUUCAAGUUUGUCCAAUGAUAAUCAGCCCUAGGUGGUUUACUCAGUUGUGGAGAAGUUCCCUUAACUUAGAUGCUUUAGCUUUGUGGGAGAAAAACUCAAACCAACAGGGCCUACUAUGUUCAAUGAGCCAGGCAGAAAAUGAAGCCAGUGCAGAGGGAAACAGCCAAAAGAGCAAAAGACUUGAGUUCUGAUGACAACAUUUAUGCCCCCGGGAUCCAGCUGUGCCUGAAGCUAGUGGUAUAUCCCCUGGACUUUGCAGUUAUGUGAACCAAUAAAUACCCUUUUUGUUGAAGUUA